Molecule: ribosomal RNA, 335 nt
Filed under: uncultured Variovorax sp.
Lineage: Bacteria; Pseudomonadati; Pseudomonadota; Betaproteobacteria; Burkholderiales; Comamonadaceae
Description: bacterial SSU rRNA
Rfam family: Bacterial small subunit ribosomal RNA
Source: RNAcentral
GGCUGUCGUCAGCUCGUGUCGUGAGAUGUUGGGUUUAAGUCCCGCAACGAGCGCAACCCUUGUCAUUAGUUGCUACAUUCAGUUGGGCACUCUAAUGAGACUGCCGGUGACAAGCCGGAGGAAGGUGGGGAUGACGUCAAGUCCUCAUGGCCCUUAUAGGUGGGGCUACACACGUCAUACAAUGGUCGGUACAAAGGGUUGCCAAGCCGCGAGGUGGAGCUAAUCCCAUAAAACCGAUCGUAGUCCGGAUCGCAGUCUGCAACUCGACUGCGUGAAGUCGGAAUCGCUAGUAAUCGUGAAUCAGAAUGUCACGGUCGAAUACGUUCCCGGGCCUU